GGGGGAGCACAGAAGAAUCGAGAGGUAGAAGGAUAUUUGGGAAAGAAAAAGGGAGAUAGAAGAUGGCGGCCAAUCAAGGUGAUUGAAGGAAAUUGUCUAUUCUACCUCAUGGUUCUCCAGUUCUUCUUCUAUUUCAAUAGGAUUGAGGCAGUGAGGAUAUUCGAAAGGCAAAAUGUCUAAAUUAGCUUGAAGCCUAUAAUUCGGUAAUAUUGGUCCUUGAUAGUUUGAGGAGCCUGGUGAUUUUAGAGUUAAAGCUACACGACAUAUUGAUAAGUCAAUUUGAUAAAACACGAUGUAAUUUUGGGCCCAUUGCACUACAUUUUUAUAAAUAUUUGAUUUUGUCGUAUAUUUUGUAGUAAUUCAUAGUCAGCCUUGGUGAUAGAUUUGACAUUUAGUCAACAUCUAUCAUCGGCGCAUGUCACGUUUCGGGUCCACUAGGGUGAUUCGGAACUGGUCGGGUCAAAACCAGUGUUCACAAGUGAUGAACGGAAAAUAAUGACUAAUAAUUCAAAAAUUA
Molecule: long non-coding RNA, 517 nt
Organism: Olea europaea var. sylvestris
Lineage: Eukaryota; Viridiplantae; Streptophyta; Magnoliopsida; Lamiales; Oleaceae
Exons: 3
Source: RefSeq, a predicted model, not a curated record